UACGUAGGGUGCGAGCGUUGUCCGGAAUUACUGGGCGUAAAGAGCUCGUAGGUGGUUUGUCGCGUUGUUCGUGAAAACCGGGGGCUUAACCCUCGGCGUGCGGGCGAUACGGGCAGACUUGAGUACUGCAGGGGAGACUGGAAUUCCUGGUGUAGCGGUGGAAUGCGCAGAUAUCAGGAGGAACACCGGUGGCGAAGGCGGGUCUCUGGGCAGUAACUGACGCUGAGAAGCGAAAGCGUGGGGAGCGAACAGG
This 253-nucleotide ribosomal RNA is filed under the name uncultured bacterium. Its description in RNAcentral is "partial 16S ribosomal RNA". It matches the Rfam family "Bacterial small subunit ribosomal RNA", at positions 524 to 776 of the family's 1533-position model. The record is from RNAcentral.